CGGCAGGGGAAAGGAAGGCGGCGGCAGCAGGUCAGCCGCAGAUUUACCAUGUCGACAGCAAGUUUGGCCCAUUUACGCUUGUAUCACUAAUUGAUUGGUGUGGAGUGGGGGCGCAGAACGUUCAGAAUCUGCAGCCAAUGAUUCUGGGUCGCUGAACGCUUUAAUGAGUGAUAUAGUUGAGGAUAUAAGCCAUCAGCUGCAUGCUGGAAUAAUGAAAUCAGCCCGCAAAGUUUUUAUUGAUGAAAUAUUUAGCAGUGCACUUCCUGAAAUUAUUUCAUGCAGGAAAACCGAGAAGCAAAUGGCUGCAAAACUUAAGAGCCGAGCUGCUAAGGUUGAUGCUACUAAGCGUGGUGGGCUAGCAAGACUCAUCAACCAUUCUUGCGAUCCAAAUUGCUAUACAAAAGUAAUUACUGUCGAGGGCCAGAAGAAGAUUUUCAUUUAUGCAAAGAGGCGUAUAUAUGCUGGCGAGGAAUUGACUUAUAAUUAUAAAUUUCCACUGGAGGAAAAGAAGAUCCCAUGCCACUGCGGUUCCCAGAGGUGCCGUGGAUCAAUGAAUUAGGAAGUAUAUCAUUCAGGUAUGGGGUCGUGGAACAAACUGUACUGCAAGAUUACAAGUUGCAGAACCUUCUUGUGCAGAAGAAUCAGAACACAUUAUUCAGUUCAUACAGAGGAAGGUACAAGCGCUUUAAGUGUGGGCUUUAAGGUACAACUGACUUAUCAGCCUGCUGUUUCAGCACCCUACAUCAGUUGAACAUCAGUACAUCGAGCUGCUGCUUUCGCCGUGAAGCUGAUCGGCUGCCAUGCUCAUUAAGUCACAUAUGUUUUGCUUUCCAAACUAGUCAUCAUGCACGGCAGCAGUUGGCUUUGAGGUGCUCUGUCGAGUUCCUGCAAAAUUCUUUGAACAUUGGGAGGAAUGGGCAUACAAUGUUGGUUCUGACGUGAACAAUGAGCUCAGUUUUGGGUGAAAACAUUUUCCAGUCUUUGAUACAUGACGACGGCGUCUUUUAGCGUCGUAACCCUUGUGAGAGCGUCGUUUUAGAGUCUUCUUGUCAUAGUGGUGUCGUUAGCUCGGUGGCGAUCGGUUUCGUAUAGCGAUGGUCGGUUCGUUGCUUGGCUUUUCUCUGUAUGGUGUAUGUUUGGACAGUUGGCACAUGGUUUGAGCCGUGCGCUCUGGUGCACGUCCUUCUUCCUCGAUAGCUAGCUGUCGAUGUAAAUCUUUUCUUAUAAUUUUUUCUUUCUAUCUUAAUUAAAUGACCUCCUUCGGUCAUUCCGACAAAACAAUGUUCUGACGUGAACAAUGAGCUCAGCUAAUUAUGUAACCGAGCCGUCUUUGUAAAUUGUUCAGUGCUCGCUUCCUCCAAUA
Molecule: long non-coding RNA, 1363 nt
Organism: Oryza brachyantha (malo sina)
Lineage: Eukaryota; Viridiplantae; Streptophyta; Magnoliopsida; Poales; Poaceae
Exons: 6
Source: RefSeq, a predicted model, not a curated record